AGCUGCAGAAGAAGCACCGGCUAACUCCGUGCCAGCAGCCGCGGUAAUACGGAGGGUGCGAGCGUUAAUCGGAAUUACUGGGCGUAAAGACGCAUGCAGGUGGUUUGUUAAGUUCAGAUGUGAAAGACCCGGGGCGUCAACCUCGGAAUUGCAUUUGUAAACUAGGCAGACUAGAGUACUGUAGAGGGGGGUAGGAAUUUCUAGGUGUAGCGGUGAAAUAGCGUAGAGAUCUGAAGGAAUACCGGUGGCGAAGGCGGCCCCCUCGGACAGAUACUGACACUCAGAUGCGAAAGCGUGGGGAGCAAACAGGAUUAGAUACCCUGGUAG
This 327-nucleotide ribosomal RNA is filed under the name uncultured bacterium. Its description in RNAcentral is "bacterial SSU rRNA". It matches the Rfam family "Bacterial small subunit ribosomal RNA", at positions 477 to 793 of the family's 1533-position model. The record is from RNAcentral.